GUCGGAACGUGCCCGGAGGACGGGGAUAGCGGCGGGAAACUGCCGGUAAUACCCGAUGAUCUCGAGAGAGCAAAGGUGUGAUUCCGCCUUUGGAGCGGCCGACAUGGUAUUAGCUAGUUGGUGGGGUAACGGCCCACCAAGGCUUUGAUGCCUAGGGGAUGUGAGAGCAUGAUCCCCACCAUUGGGACUGAGACACUGCCCAGACACCUACGGGUGGCUGCAGUCGAGAAUCUUCGUCAAUGGGCGAAAGCCUGAACGAGCGACGCCGCGUGCGGGAUGAAGGCCCUUGGGUUGUAAACCGCUGUCGAGGGGGAUGAAGGCUUGAAGGUACUCCUUCAAGUUUGACAGAGCCCUGGAGGAAGCACGGGCUAAGUUCGUGCCAGCAGCCGCGGUAAUACGAACUGUGCGAACGUUAUUCGGAAUCACUGGGCUUACAGGGUGCGUAGGCGGCUAUUCAGGUCAGGUGUGAAAGCCCUCGGCUCAACCGAGGAACUGCGCUUGAAACCGGAUGGCUC
This 515-nucleotide ribosomal RNA is filed under the name uncultured Planctomycetota bacterium. RNAcentral describes it as "bacterial SSU rRNA". It matches the Rfam family "Bacterial small subunit ribosomal RNA", at positions 117 to 643 of the family's 1533-position model. Lineage: Bacteria; Pseudomonadati; Planctomycetota. The record is from RNAcentral.